CAUUUAGAGGAAGUAAAAGUCGUAACAAGGUUUCCGUAGGUGAACCUGCGGAAGGAUCAUUAGUGAAAAAAUAGCGUACCUGUUUAACCAGGGCGUGACCUCUCACUUUUUCAAACUCUGUGCACUUCAAAUUUGCUGGCUAUAGGAAAGGGUCGAUUAACUUCGCUCGGAACUUGCGCCGGCUCAUCUUAUUAAACAUUUAAAGUUAAUGUAUGUCAAAGAAAUUUAAUAACAAAAAAAACUUUCAACAACGGAUCUCUUGGCUCUCGCAUCGAUGAAGAACGCAGCGAAAUGUGAUAAGUAAUGUGAAUUGCAGAAUUCAGUGAAUCAUCGAAUCUUUGAACGCAUCUUGCGCUCGCUGGUAUUCCGGCGAGCAUGUCUGUUUGAGUGUCGUGAACUCUUCAACCCCUAAUUUUUCUUAAGUGAGAUUUUGGUGCGGCUUGGUUUCUGAACGCCUGCUGGACUUGUUAAAAGUCGAGCUCGUUCGUAAUGCAUUAGCAUCCUAAUCUUCGAGAUCAGAUUGACUCGGCGUAAUAGACUAUUCGCUGAGGACAUGGCACCCCGUCAAAAAGGGUGUUGUGGCUGGACUUGGAAAGUUGGAAGCUUACAAACCCCGACAAUUUAGUCAAAUCAUCUAAGAUUAGACCUCAGAUCAGGCAGGAUUACCCGCUGAACUUAAGCAUAUCAAUAAGCG
Molecule: ribosomal RNA, 694 nt
Filed under: Microbotryum scabiosae
Lineage: Eukaryota; Fungi; Basidiomycota; Microbotryomycetes; Microbotryales; Microbotryaceae
Description: eukaryotic LSU rRNA
Rfam family: 5.8S ribosomal RNA (bases 240-393)
Source: RNAcentral